RNAcentral lists this ribosomal RNA (467 nucleotides) under uncultured bacterium. RNAcentral describes it as "partial 16S ribosomal RNA". It matches the Rfam family "Bacterial small subunit ribosomal RNA", at positions 28 to 507 of the family's 1533-position model. The record is from RNAcentral.
GACGAACGCUGGCGGCGUGCUUAACACAUGCAAGUCGAGCGAGGCCCAUCCUUCGGGGUGGUGCCCUAGCGGCGAACGGGUGAGUAACACGUGGGCAACCUGCCCUCAGCUCUGGGAUAACUCCAAGAAAUUGGUGCUAAUACCGGAUGUGACCGCUGACCGCAUGGUCUGGUGGUGGAAAGAUUCAUCGGCUGAGGAUGGGCCCGCGGCCUAUCAGCUUGUUGGUGGGGUAAUGGCCCACCAAGGCGACGACGGGUAGCCGGCCUGAGAGGGUGACCGGCCACACUGGGACUGAGACACGGCCCAGACUCCUACGGGAGGCAGCAUUGGGGAAUAUUGCGCAAUGGGCGAAAGCCUGACGCAGCGACGCCGCGUGAGGGAUGACGGCCUUCGGGUUGUAAACCUCUUUCAGUAGGGACGAAGCGAAAGUGACGGUACCUACAGAAGAAGCACCGGCCAACUACGUG